AUCAAUAUGGCUGAAAAAGUGUAAGUCUGUAAAACUUAUUAUAAAUUUUUAUAAUUUUGUUGAUA
RNAcentral lists this transfer RNA (65 nucleotides) under Nymphon unguiculatum-charcoti complex sp. SEM-1997. RNAcentral's name for it is "tRNA-Tyr". It matches the Rfam family "tRNA". Rfam says of the family: Transfer RNA (tRNA) molecules are approximately 80 nucleotides in length. Their secondary structure includes four short double-helical elements and three loops (D, anti-codon, and T loops). Lineage: Eukaryota; Metazoa; Arthropoda; Pycnogonida; Pantopoda; Nymphonidae. The record is from RNAcentral.